GACGAACGCUGGCGGCGUGCUUAACACAUGCAAGUCGAACGAAGAGCGAUGGAAGCUUGCUUCUAUCACUCUUAGUGGCGAACGGGUGAGUAACGCGUAAUCAACCUGCCCUUCAGAGGGGGACAACAGUUGGAAACGACUGCUAAUACCGCAUACGAUCUGACCUCGGCAUCGAGGAUAGAUGAAAGGUGGCCUCUACAUGUAAGCUAUCACUGAAGGAGGGGAUUGCGUCUGAUUAGCUAGUUGGAGGGGUAACGGCCCACCAAGGCGAUGAUCAGUAGCCGGUCUGAGAGGAUGAACGGCCACAUUGGGACUGAGACACGGCCCAGACUCCUACGGGAGGCAGCGGUGGGGAAUCUUCCGCAAUGGACGAAAGUCUGACGGAGCAACGCCGCGUGAGUGAUGACGGCCUUCGGGUUGUAAAGCUCUGUUAAUCGGGACGAAAGGCCUUUUUGCGAAUAGUGAGAAGGAUUGACGGUACCGGAAUAGAAAGCCACGGCUAACUACGUG
RNAcentral lists this ribosomal RNA (510 nucleotides) under uncultured bacterium. RNAcentral's name for it is "partial 16S ribosomal RNA". It matches the Rfam family "Bacterial small subunit ribosomal RNA", at positions 28 to 507 of the family's 1533-position model. The record is from RNAcentral.